CCUACGGGGGGCUGCAGUGGGGAAUAUUGGACAAUGGGGGGAACCCUGAUCCAGCCAUGCCGCGUGUGUGAAGAAGGCCCUCGGGUUGUAAAGCACUUUCAGUGAGGAAGAACGCCUGGUGGUUAAUACCCAUCAGGAAAGACAUCACUCACAGAAGAAGCACCGGCUAACUCCGUGCCAGCAGCCGCGGUAAUACGGAGGGUGCGAGCGUUAAUCGGAAUUACUGGGCGUAAAGCGAGCGUAGGUGGCUUGAUAAGCCGGUUGUGAAAGCCCCGGGCUCAACCUGGGAACGGCAUCCGGAACUGGCAAGCUAGAGUGCAGGAGAGGAAGGUAGAAUUCCCGGUGUAGCGGUGAAAUGCGUAGAGAUCGGGAGGAAUACCAGUGGCGAAGGCGGCCUUCUGGACUGACACUGACACUGAGGUGCGAAAGCGUGGGUAGCAAACAGGAUUAGAUACCCUAGUAGUC
This 465-nucleotide ribosomal RNA is filed under the name Vreelandella stevensii. RNAcentral's name for it is "partial 16S ribosomal RNA". It matches the Rfam family "Bacterial small subunit ribosomal RNA", at positions 338 to 795 of the family's 1533-position model. The record is from RNAcentral. Lineage: Bacteria; Pseudomonadati; Pseudomonadota; Gammaproteobacteria; Oceanospirillales; Halomonadaceae.